RNAcentral lists this long non-coding RNA (491 nucleotides) under Bos indicus x Bos taurus (hybrid cattle). RNAcentral's name for it is "lncRNA (ENSBIXG00005003944.1)". The record is from RNAcentral. Lineage: Eukaryota; Metazoa; Chordata; Mammalia; Artiodactyla; Bovidae.
AAAGUACAUCCUGAAUUUCACUGGAAACUUGGGAAAGGAAGAAAGUAGACUAAACUAUAACUUUUCUCAGAAGUGUAGACCCUAAGAUCCUGGACAGAGUUGAAAUUCUGUCCUGUCCUUAUAAUGAUCCCUGUGAAGUAACAUGUGAAGAAUUGAUUAAUUAGGUUGGUUUCAGAUCAACAACUUAUUUCCUGGAAAGAGCAGGCUUGAACCUCAUAGUGAGAUUCAAAGACUAAGAGAAUGCUUCCAAGAACCUGAAGGAGGAAAGGAGACGGCUUAGUUUUAUUACAGAUGGCUGCCAGCUUCAGGAUGUGCCUCAGUCUUUUUCCAUUGUUUCCAUUGUGACUGUUAACUGCAGAAACCCAGCCCAGAACCGAGGAUCCCAGGAUCUGCAUGUUGCAAGUGAUACCAAAGAGGUAAAUUAACUCAUCCUUCCACCUCUAGGAAGGACAAACUGUGUCCAAAUAUUUCCAGAGGAAUAAUUUUACAUC